Molecule: ribosomal RNA, 601 nt
Filed under: Clostridioides difficile
Lineage: Bacteria; Bacillati; Bacillota; Clostridia; Peptostreptococcales; Peptostreptococcaceae
Description: bacterial SSU rRNA
Rfam family: Bacterial small subunit ribosomal RNA
Source: RNAcentral
UCGGUGCCGCAGCUAACGCAUUAAGUACUCCGCCAGGGAAGUACGCUCGCAAGAGGGAAACUAAAAGGAAUUGACGGGGACCCGAACAAGUAGCGGAGCAUGUGGGUUAAUUCGAAGCAACGCGAAGAACCUUACCUAAGCUUGACAUCCCAAUGACAUCUCCUUAAUCGGAGAGUUCCCUUCGGGGACAUUGGUGACAGGUGGUGCAUGGUUGUCGUCAGCUCGUGUCGUGAGAUGUUGGGUUAAGUCCCGCAACGAGCGCAACCCUUGUCUUUAGUUGCCAUCAUUAAGUUGGGCACUCUAGAGAGACUGCCAGGGAUAACCUGGAGGAAGGUGGGGAUGACGUCAAAUCAUCAUGCCCCUUAUGCUUAGGGCUACACACGUGCUACAAUGGGUAGUACAGAUGGUUGCCAAGCCGUAAGGCGGAGCUAAUCCCCUAAAGCUACUCUCAGUUCGCAUGGUAGGCUGAAACUCGCUUACAUGAAGCUGGAGUUACUAGUAAUCGCAGAUCAGAAUGCUGCGGUGAAUGCGUUCCCGGGUCUUGUACACACCGCCCGUCACACCACGGGAGUUGGAGACGCCCGAAGCCGAUUAUCUAACC